GUGUUUUUGGCUAUAUUACGGCAUUAUUUGCACCCCUGCUAAGGGAGUAGGUCGGGAAACCGGCGCGAGAGUUCAAAUCUCUCAAUCCGCGCCA
RNAcentral lists this transfer RNA (94 nucleotides) under Ruminococcus sp. Its description in RNAcentral is "tRNA-Ser". Lineage: Bacteria; Bacillati; Bacillota; Clostridia; Eubacteriales; Oscillospiraceae. The record is from RNAcentral.